Molecule: small nuclear RNA, 162 nt
Organism: Nannospalax galili (Upper Galilee mountains blind mole rat)
Lineage: Eukaryota; Metazoa; Chordata; Mammalia; Rodentia; Spalacidae
Gene: U1
Rfam family: U1 spliceosomal RNA
About the family: U1 is a small nuclear RNA (snRNA) component of the spliceosome (involved in pre-mRNA splicing).
Source: Ensembl
GUACUUACUGGCAGCGGAGAUACCAUGAGCAUGAAGUUGGUUUUCCCAGGGCGAGGCUCAUCCAUUGCACUCCAGAUUUGCUGACCCCUGUGAUUCCUCCAAAUGUGGGAAACUGGACUGUAUAAUUUGUGGUCACGGGGAGCUGCCUUUGCACUCUCCCCU